GAUGAACGCUGGCGGCGUGCCUAAUACAUGCAAGUCGAGCGAACAGACGAGGAGCUUGCUCCUCUGACGUUAGCGGCGGACGGGUGAGUAACACGUGGAUAACCUACCUAUAAGACUGGGAUAACUUCGGGAAACCGGAGCUAAUACCGGAUAAUAUAUUGAACCGCAUGGUUCAAUAGUGAAAGACGGCUUUGCUGUCACUUAUAGAUGGUUCCGCGCCGCAUUAGCUAGUUGGUAAGGUAACGGCUUACCAAGGCGACGAUGCGUAGCCGACCUGAGAGGGUGAUCGGCCACACUGGAACUGAGACACGGUCCAGACUCCUACGGGAGGCAGCAGUAGGGAAUCUUCCGCAAUGGGCGAAAGCCUGACGGAGCAACGCCGCGUGAGUGAUGAAGGUCUUCGGAUCGUAAAACUCUGUUAUUAGGGAAGAACAAAUGUGUAAGUAACUAUGCACGUCUUGACGGUACCUAAUCAGAAAGCCACGGCUAACUACGUG
This 497-nucleotide ribosomal RNA is filed under the name uncultured bacterium. Its description in RNAcentral is "partial 16S ribosomal RNA". It matches the Rfam family "Bacterial small subunit ribosomal RNA", at positions 28 to 507 of the family's 1533-position model. The record is from RNAcentral.